RNAcentral lists this ribosomal RNA (252 nucleotides) under uncultured bacterium. Its description in RNAcentral is "partial 16S ribosomal RNA". It matches the Rfam family "Bacterial small subunit ribosomal RNA", at positions 524 to 776 of the family's 1533-position model. The record is from RNAcentral.
UACGAAGGGGGCUAGCGUUGCUCGGAAUCACUGGGCGUAAAGCGCACGUAGGCGGCUUUUUAAGUCAGGGGUGAAAUCCUGGAGCUCAACUCCAGAACUGCCUUUGAUACUGAGAGCUUGAGUCCGGGAGAGGUGAGUGGAACUGCGAGUGUAGAGGUGAAAUUCGUAGAUAUUCGCAAGAACACCAGUGGCGAAGGCGGCUCACUGGCCCGGUACUGACGCUGAGGUGCGAAAGCGUGGGGAGCGAACAGG